This is a long non-coding RNA of Hippopotamus amphibius kiboko, 741 nucleotides long. RefSeq lists it as uncharacterized. The transcript is spliced from 5 exons. NCBI's taxonomy places the organism in Eukaryota, Metazoa, Chordata, Mammalia, Artiodactyla, Hippopotamidae. The record is from RefSeq and is a predicted model, not a curated record.
UGUCCUCAUGCUUACUCAUUAAGCAAAGUUCUCCUGAGCAACUACUUUGCGCCCCAUACUGUCUGGGGCCGUAAACAAGAUGCCGCUGCCCUCCUGAAAUUCACCAAGAGAAACUCAUGAACUCCCCGAGCCACAGAAUGGCGGCUUGGAGUUGGCAUUUGGGAAGAUUCAUUCAUUCCACAAUUAGUUGCUGCAUCUAUUUGUGUGGCCACUCCUUCCCAGCUGCCUGCAGACACAUCUCUACCAGUCAAGUCUAAGAGCUAUUCGUGGCCCCAUCAUUUAUCAGCUGCACGUCCUCUCUGGUCCUCCGUUUCCACAUCUGUAAAUGGGGAUAAUAACAGCAGCUACCUCCGAGGAGAGCUAGAAAAAGGUACGGACUUCCUCCAGGGCUCCCCAGAGGGUCUCGGCCCACUCUACUCACCUGGAUACAGCGGCUCCUGGUCAGUCCUGAGUAGAACGGUCACUGCAGAGAAGACAGAGUUGCUGGGAAGAGGAAACAAGUUAACAUCCGCACCAUGCGAGGAUGUGCCCACAGUCAGCACUAGUUUCUCCAUUCACUGCUCGUCCCUCAAACCCUGGAGAACAAGCUCCCCCAGGGGACACUGUCCUGUGCACCACUGCGUCUCCAGCACCUUCACCUGUGCCUGUCACAUUGUAGAUGCUCAAUAAAUAUGCAUCAAAUGAAUAAAUAAUUGCCAAUGUUAGAGCCCUUUCAAUAUGCUGGAUCCACUUCUACUUCCC